Molecule: ribosomal RNA, 485 nt
Filed under: uncultured bacterium
Lineage: Bacteria
Description: bacterial SSU rRNA
Rfam family: Bacterial small subunit ribosomal RNA
Source: RNAcentral
GAUGAACGCUAGCGGCAGACUUAAUACAUGCAAGUCGAGGGGCAUCAAGGUACACGAAAGUGUAUUGUUGGCGACCGGCGGACGGGUGAGUAAUAGGUAGGUAACCUACCUCAUACUGAGGCAUAGCUGGGAGAAAUUCCAGGUAAUUCCUCAUGAGGUUAUAUGACACAUGUGAUAUAAUCAAAGGUAUCGCAAGGUACUGGUAUGAGAUGGGCUUACUGACCAUUAGCUAGUUGGUGAGAUAAGAGCUCACCAAGGCGAAGAUGGUUAGGGGUUUUGAGAGAGAGAUCCCCCACAUUGGAACUGAGAUACGGUCCAGACUCCUACGGGAGGCAGCAGUAGGGAAUAUUGGGCAAUGGGCGGAAGCCUGACCCAGCCAUGCCGCGUGAAGGAAGACGGCCUUAUGGGUUGUAAACUUCUUUACUAUGCGACUAACUAGAUUUACGAGAUAAUUCUAUAGAAUGUAGCAUAGCAAAAAGCACGGA